This 261-nucleotide unclassified non-coding RNA is filed under the name plant metagenome. RNAcentral describes it as "partial contains small subunit ribosomal RNA, internal transcribed spacer 1, and 5.8S ribosomal RNA". The record is from RNAcentral.
UCUCCGUUGGUGAACCAGCGGAGGGAUCAUUACCGAGUUUACAACUCCCAAACCCCUAUGUGAACGUUACCAAACUGUUGCCUCGGCGGGAAAUUCAUGCCCCGGGCGCGUCGCAGCCCCGGACCAAGGCGCCCGCCGGAGGACCAACCAAAACUCUUUUGUAUGUCCCUCGCGGACUUUUAUAAUUCUGAACCAUCUCGGCGCCCCUAGCGGGCGUUUCGAAAAUGAAUCAAAACUUUCAACAACGGAUCUCUUGGUUCU